RNAcentral lists this ribosomal RNA (253 nucleotides) under uncultured bacterium. RNAcentral's name for it is "partial 16S ribosomal RNA". It matches the Rfam family "Bacterial small subunit ribosomal RNA", at positions 524 to 776 of the family's 1533-position model. The record is from RNAcentral.
UACAGAGGUGGCAAGCGUUGUUCGGAAUUACUGGGCGUAAAGGGCGCGUAGGCGGUUCGUUAAGUCCUGUGUGAAAUCCCCCGGCUCAACUGGGGAACUGCACAGGAAACUAGCGGGCUUGAGUUCGGGAGAGGGAAGCGGAAUUCCGGGUGUAGCGGUGAAAUGCGUAGAUAUCGGGAGGAACACCGGUGGCGAAGGCGGCUUGCUGGGCCAGUUCUGACGCUGAGGAGCGAAAGCGUGGGGAGCGAACAGG